UUCCCCAUGUGAGAGUAGGUCAUCGUCAAGA
This 31-nucleotide ribosomal RNA is filed under the name Pseudomonas sp. NFACC09-4. Lineage: Bacteria; Pseudomonadati; Pseudomonadota; Gammaproteobacteria; Pseudomonadales; Pseudomonadaceae. The record is from RNAcentral.